This 362-nucleotide transfer-messenger RNA is filed under the name Fervidibacillus halotolerans. It matches the Rfam family "transfer-messenger RNA". From Rfam's summary of the family: Bacterial tmRNA, also known as 10Sa RNA or SsrA, is named for its dual tRNA and mRNA-like properties. Its role is to liberate the mRNA from a stalled ribosome. Lineage: Bacteria; Bacillati; Bacillota; Bacilli; Caryophanales; Bacillaceae. The record is from Rfam by way of RNAcentral.
GGGGACGUUUCGGAUUCGACAGGGGCAGAUCGAGCUUGGGCUGCGAGCCGAGUCGGCGAACUCGUCAAAACGCCACGCCUAUAAUAAAUGGCAAAACUAACAAUAACUUAGCUCUCGCUGCUUAAUAACCAGUCGAGGCUGUUCCUCCUUCCAUCUCCCACGUGGAGGGUCAGGGACUCAUUGUAGUGGGAUACGCCGGUUGCCCGCCGUCUGAGGGCGAAGGAAGAGAUCAAUCAGACUAGCAUUACCGAAGCCCGUCGAUAGGCCGACGUAAUUGCGAAAAUUGAAUAUAUCGACUACGCUCGUAGACGUCUAAGUGGCGAUGUCUCUGGACGUGGGUUCGACUCCCACCGUCUCCAUAA